GGGCCCGCACAAGCGGUGGAGCAUGUGGUUUAAUUCGAAGCAACGCGAAGAACCUUACCAGGUCUUGACAUCCUUUUGACCUUCCUAGAGAUAGGAAUUUCCCUUCGGGGACAGAAGUGACAGGUGGUGCAUGGUUGUCGUCAGCUCGUGUCGUGAGAUGUUGGGUUAAGUCUCGCAACGAGCGCAACCCUUGAUCUUAGUUGCCAGCAUUCAGUUGGGCACUCUAAGGUGACUGCCGGUGACAAACCGGAGGAAGGUGGGGAUGACGUCAAAUCAUCAUGCCCCUUAUGACCUGGGCUACACACGUGCUACAAUGGAUGGUACAAAGAGCUGCAAACUCGCGAGGGUAAGCGAAUCUCAUAAAGCCAUUCUCAGUUCGGAUUGUAGGCUGCAACUCGCCUACAUGAAGCCGGAAUCGCUAGUAAUCGUAGAUCAGCAUGCUACGGUGAAUACGUUCCCGGGCCUUGUACACACCGCCCGUCACACCACGAAAGUUUGUAACACCCAAAGUCGGUGAGGUAACCGCAAGGAGCCAGCCGCCUAAGGUGGGAUAGAUGAUUGGGGUG
This 566-nucleotide ribosomal RNA is filed under the name uncultured bacterium. RNAcentral describes it as "bacterial SSU rRNA". It matches the Rfam family "Bacterial small subunit ribosomal RNA", at positions 917 to 1482 of the family's 1533-position model. The record is from RNAcentral.